This 484-nucleotide ribosomal RNA is filed under the name uncultured bacterium. RNAcentral's name for it is "bacterial SSU rRNA". It matches the Rfam family "Bacterial small subunit ribosomal RNA", at positions 15 to 518 of the family's 1533-position model. The record is from RNAcentral.
GAUCCUGGCUCAGGACGAACGCUGGCGGCGUGCUUAACACAUGCAAGUCGAGCGGAGAAUAUAGCAAUAUAUUCUUAGCGGCGGACGGGUGAGUAACGCGUGGGUAACCUGCCUUUUACUGGGGGAUAACACUGGGAAACUAGUGCUAAUACCGCAUAAAAUAGUGAAGUGGCAUCACUUUACUAUCAAAGGAGCAAUCCGGUAAAAGAUGGACCCGCGUCCGAUUAGCUAGUUGGAGGGUAACGGCCCACCAAGGCGACGAUCGGUAGCCGAACUGAGAGGUUGAUCGGCCACAUUGGGACUGAGACACGGCCCAGACUCCUACGGGAGGCAGCAGUGGGGAAUAUUGCGCAAAUGGGGGAAACCCUGACGCAGCAACGCCGCGUGAAGGAUGAAGGUUUUCGGAUUGUAAACUUCUUUGAUUGGGGACGAUAAUGACGGUACCCAAAAAACAAGCCACGGCUAACUACGUGCCAGCAGCCGC